RNAcentral lists this ribosomal RNA (431 nucleotides) under Digonogastra sp. indet 6. RNAcentral's name for it is "eukaryotic LSU rRNA". The record is from RNAcentral. Lineage: Eukaryota; Metazoa; Arthropoda; Insecta; Hymenoptera; Braconidae.
CCUGAGAAACCCAAAAGAUCGAAUGGGGAGAUUCAUCGUCAGCUCAUUUUAUAUAUAUGCUAGUUAUGAUAUGGGUUACUACUUGUAGUAUUGCCUGUACAUUCUUGUAUAUUUAAGUGUAAGAUGUUGUCGGCGUGCACUUCUCCCCUAGUAGGACGUCGCGACCCGUUGAGUUGUGUUGGUCUACGGCCCAAGUGGAAGCUUUUAAUGAAUUUUAUUCAUUGAAAACUCUUGGUGUUACCUGACUGGCGCUCGUCGGUAUUCGUAUGGUAUUGAGCCGCAAAUAUUAUAUGCGUCCAUAUCUGUCGCAAGCGAGGUUAGUUACUGAUAGUGCGGACCUAGUGCCGUCGUUGGUGCUAACCAGCUGUUGGUUGUACAGAAUUCUAGGACUGGCUCGUUGAAAUACCGGUCAGCGAUGCUACUGCUUUGGG